CGCCGGAGGAUUGGAAUAUGUCCUAUUAGCUAGUUGGCGGGAUAAAAGCCCACCAAGGCGAUGAUAGGUAGCUGGUCUAAGAGGAUGAACAGCCACAAUGGGAUUGAGAUACGGCCCAUAUUCCUACGGGAAGCAGCAGUAGGGAAUCUUCCACAAUGGGCGAAAGCCUGAUGGAGCAAUGCCAUGUGAACGAUGAAGGCCAGACAGGUCGUAAAGUUCUUUUAGAGGGGAAAAAUUUGAUGGUACCCUCUGAAUAAGUGACAGCAAACUAUGUGCCAGCAGCUGCGGUAAUACAUAGGUCGCGAGCGUUAUUCGGAUUUAUUGGGCGUAAAGCAAGCGCAGGCGGAUGAAUAAGUUCUGCAUUAAAAGCAGCUGCUUAACAGUUGUUUGUGCCGAAUACUAUUCAUCUAGAAUGUGGUAGGAAGUU
RNAcentral lists this ribosomal RNA (427 nucleotides) under Candidatus Mycoplasma turicense. RNAcentral's name for it is "bacterial SSU rRNA". It matches the Rfam family "Bacterial small subunit ribosomal RNA", at positions 216 to 660 of the family's 1533-position model. Lineage: Bacteria; Bacillati; Mycoplasmatota; Mollicutes; Mycoplasmatales; Mycoplasmataceae. The record is from RNAcentral.